Pilatotrama ljubarskyi is the source of this 78-nucleotide non-coding RNA. NCBI's taxonomy places the organism in Eukaryota, Fungi, Basidiomycota, Agaricomycetes, Polyporales, Polyporaceae. The record is from the annotation of a GenBank genome assembly.
GGUACUAUAGUGUAGCGGUUAUCACUUGGGAUUCUGAUGAAGGUUCCCAAAACCCAGGUUCGAUUCCUGGUAGUACCU